GGGGGGGGGGGGGGGGGGGGGGAAGGAGGGGGAGGUGGAAGCGAUCAUUAACCCUUUUCUUGCAUUUACCUUUUCUACUGUGAUUUUUGGCUGCGUUUUUAAAGCACACGGGGGGAUUUUUCUUCUCUACAAAGCACGUAAACCCGCUGCCAUCAGGCCCUGCGGGCCCCGCUCCCGCAGCCCAGCUCGGCGACCAGCGGGUGAGUAGGGUCUGCACAGUAGCCCCACGGCCGCUCCAAAAAAAGGUCCAAGGGCAACGCCGAAAAAUGCAUGACCUUCCGAAAUUACUUUUUGGAAAAUAACCGCCCACGCAGCCGCCCCGGCCGAGCGUCCCUCAGGAGAGGCCCACCGGGCGAAGGGAACACAGUUCCCGCUCUGGCCGUGCUGGUUUCAUCUUUCUAACUCUCUUUUUUUUUUCAGCAGGGCGUUAUCGUUCCUCAGCAUUCACACCUGGGGGGGAGGAAGUACCAGUGUAAGGUAAGCGGCACCGCCGCCUGCCCCCGCCACAGCGGCCAGCGGGCCGAGGAAGGCAGCGAGGCCACGACCCUCCCCCCACACACCAGCCCCGCCGCAACCCCGGCCUCACGCCGCCGGCCUGCGACCGACACGCAGACCGCCGCGCUGCCCCAGCGGCGCGAAUUUUCCUAUUGGGCAUUUCCUUUGCGAUCGCGCCCAGCAACUAAAGGCGCAUUGGUGCAUUCCCGGCGCGCUCCGCUCACUGGCCGCGCGCUCGGCGCGGCAUUGGCCGGCGGGAAUGUCCGUCCGCGCGGGGCGGCCCGGCCCCUGGGCGAGCGCGCGGGGCAGCAGCGCGGCAGGCGGUCGGCGGGAACGGCCGGUGCAGCCGCUGCAGCGCGGCGUGAGGCGCCGCCCGCCAGCCCUGGGCGGGAGCGGGGCGCGGGGCACGGCGCUGCCGGCCGCUGCCCGCGGGAGCGGGGCGCUGGCCAUGUGCGUUCGGCAGGAGCAGCAGGGACCGCUCUCACCUCACCGGACGGGCUCCACUGAAACCCUCUUGUGUUGCCACCCGUGAAAAAAAGUCAGAAAUAAAGUUCAAAAUCUUGUGUGAAAAACCCACAAGUAAGUUAAUAUUUCAGUAUGAGAGGACAAAAAGGUGGCACAGAUCCAAUCCCAGCCUAAAUCUGCAGGUCUAAGUAAAUUACUGGAUGUUUAAUUAUCAGUUCUGAUCAUGCAUGCUGUUCUUAAUAAGUGAAAGCAAAUUUGACUUUGUCGCUU
This 1230-nucleotide long non-coding RNA is filed under the name Falco tinnunculus (common kestrel). RNAcentral's name for it is "lncRNA (ENSFTIG00000010521.1)". Lineage: Eukaryota; Metazoa; Chordata; Aves; Falconiformes; Falconidae. The record is from RNAcentral.